Molecule: non-coding RNA, 412 nt
Organism: Ahaetulla prasina
Lineage: Eukaryota; Metazoa; Chordata; Lepidosauria; Squamata; Colubridae
Source: the annotation of a RefSeq genome assembly
GCAAAAGCCAGUCUGCCUGGAAUUUCUCCACUGAGAAAGAAAAAUGAUAUUUUUGCUCCAACUCGUCUCCAUUUUAGCAAUCAUUAAAGAUGUCCAAAUGGAGGUUCAGCUGGUGGAAUCUGGAGGGGAUGUGAAAAGGCCUGGGGAGUCCCUCCACCUCUCUUGCCAAGCUUCAGGCUUCACCUUCAGCAGCUACGAGAUGAGCUGGGUGAGGCAGGCUCCAGGGAAAGGACUGGAGUGGGUUGCAUGGAUAGAGGAUGAUGGAGAUGAGAGCACCCAAUACUAUGCCGAUUCAGUGAAAGGCCGUUUCACCAUCUUUCGGCAAGAUGCCUCCAGCAUCCUUUAUCUCCAAAUGAGCAGCUUGAAACCAGAGGACACCGCUGUGUAUUACUGUGCUAGAGACGCACAGUGA